CAGCAGUGGAUGCCUGGAGUGAGCUAAGCAUCCCCACAGCUUCUCUCUGGUGUGCUCACCCAGAAAACCAAUGCUUUCUAGAGUCCUGGAUGUAGUGCAGAGGAAGAGCACUUGUUCAGCAUGCAAGAGGCCCUGGGUUCAGUACCCAGCACUUCUUCACAGGAGGAAACAAAGAAUGCUUACCAGCACCAUCAGCCAAAAGAAGGUGCCACACCAAAGCAUUGACAAAAGGCUGGAUGUACUGAUGCCUCUAAUCUCUGCGCUUGGAAGACAAAGGAAAGAAGGACCUAAAAUCAAGGCCAGCUGGAGUUGCAAAGUGAAAUCCUUCCCACAAGGAGUAUGCAAAGCAGAGGCAUCACUAGCCUCCCCACAAGGAGACAGUCAACCCAGCAAGAUGGACUCAUGAUUGCGUUCACAAACUCAAGUAUGGUAUGUAUGUGUGUGGGGGGGGUUCUUGGUCCAGGCCUCCUGCUGCCCUUCACUCCUAGUGAACCUGGGUGUCCUUCAGAGACUUGGGUGUAGAAAGGAAAAACAGUACAAAGUAAAUUAUUUAAAUAGAACAUUAUCAUCAAGAAAAUGCUCUCAUCCAAUGACUCUCAGAACCCACAUGCCACCUCAAGGGUUUCUAAACUACAGCAAUUCUAAAAGAUCAUUUCUUUUUGUCUUUGCAAAAGAAAAAGGAAUUACUUUUAAGCUUUUUCAUUUCCUUCUGUUGCUGCUACACGUUUUAGUAUCAAGGCAUAACACACAUAGGGAAGAAUGUCUCAUUCUGUAACCACAGACUUGGGUCACUCCAAAAAAACUCUUGACAAAUGCCCACAUAUUUUUUCAGUCUCCCUGAAAGGGAAGUCAAUGCUUUGAACUUGGCCUAUCAACCUUUUCUUCAGCUCUAGGUCACAAACAGAGUCACAUGCAGUGACUCCUGUGGGCUCUGUGGAGAGUUAUCAUGUAACAGACAUGCAUUUCCUUUUUCUUUAAAGGCUUGCCCUAGUCUACCCACACCUCCCUUUGUUCCUAAUGGUAUUCCUUCGGUCAUCAGCACCAUUUUCUUCCACACUAUAGAGGAGAGUGCCUUUUCUCCAGAUACUUAGCUCAGCAGCAUCAUUUUUCCAAACUGUGGUCAGAGGCUGUAAGCCACUAAAGGUGUUUUUAAGCUGCAGAUUCCUGAACCCCACCUCAAUUACACUAAACUAAUAUGCUUGGGGUGAGACCUGAACACCUGCUCCCCAGAUCAUAUUUAUAUGCAGUACAUCCAAGACAAGAGUGUUGAGUACUAGUUUGGAGGUGGUCUCCCUGGACAUGAGCUUGAAUACACCACCUUUCUCUCCUCGAUCGAAGCUCAUUUUCUCUGUAUUUAAUAUUAUACUAGCAUUCAUAUUCUCAUUAACGGGAACCCUUAUAUUUCGUUCACACCUGUGCAAUAAAGAAAACGGGUCAAGUAGAAGGCCACUCCUUCUAGUCCUAGGCUUUAUGACUGUUCACAUCUUUCCUGGUGUAUGGAUUUUGCCAUUAAAUUUUGGGUCAUUACUAUUUGCUUGUGAAUGAGAAGAUAAUACAUCCUUCUAUCUAGUGACACAAUGAUGCUGCUUUCCUCCCAAGAUUGGAGAAUACACUAAAAUGGCACAAGAAUGCAUUCUGUAUACCUCAGCUUCUUAUGCAGACAAGGAUUAUUAUUGAAGAUUAUGGAAUUUAGGAGAUGAUAAGCAUAGUUAAGGAGGUUAAUUAUAAAUAAAUAUUUUACUUAAAUCAUUGGGCCUUACUUGUUUAAAGGAAGUGCCUCUUCGGUUUUGUUUGUUUGUUUGUUAU
Long non-coding RNA from Mesocricetus auratus (golden hamster), 1806 nucleotides. RefSeq lists it as uncharacterized. NCBI's taxonomy places the organism in Eukaryota, Metazoa, Chordata, Mammalia, Rodentia, Cricetidae. The transcript has 3 exons. The record is from RefSeq and is a predicted model, not a curated record.